UACGGGAGGCAGCAGUGGGGAAUAUUGCACAAUGGGCGAAAGCCUGAUGCAGCUAUGCCGCGUGUAUGAAGAAGGCCUUAGGGUUGUAAAGUACUUUCAUCGGGGAGGAAAAAACAAAACUAAUAAUUUUAUUUCUUGACGUUACCCGAAAAAGAAGCACCGGCUAACUCCGUGCCAGCAGCCGCGGUAAUACGGAGGGUGCUAGCGUUAAUCAGAAUUACUGGGCGUAAAGAGCACGUAGGUGGUUUUUUUAAGUCAGAUGUGAAAUCCCUGGGCUUAACCUAGGAACUGCAUUUUGAAACUGAAAUACUAGAGUAUCGUAGAGGGAGGUAGAAUUCUAGGUGUAGCGGUGAAAUGCGUAGAUAUCUGGAGGAAUACCUGUGGCGAAAGCGGCCUCCUAAACGAAUACUGACACUAAAGGGUGCGAAAGCGUGGGGAGCAAACAGGGAUUAGAUACC
RNAcentral lists this ribosomal RNA (458 nucleotides) under uncultured bacterium. RNAcentral describes it as "bacterial SSU rRNA". It matches the Rfam family "Bacterial small subunit ribosomal RNA", at positions 340 to 786 of the family's 1533-position model. The record is from RNAcentral.